GUUGAGCGGAGAUAUAUGGAGCUUGCUUUAUAUAACUUAGCAGCGAACGGGUGAGUAACACGUAGAUAAUCUAUCCUAUACUGGGGGAUAGCCCGAUGAAAGUUGGAUUAAUACCGCAUAUAGCUAUAUAGUUGCAUGAUUAUGUAGUGAAAGAUUUAUUGGUAUAGGAGGAGUCUGCGGCACAUUAGCUAGUAGGUGAGGUAAAGGCUUACCUAGGCGACGAUGUGUAGCCGGUCUGAGAGGAUGAACGGCCACAAUGGAACUGAGACACGGUCCAUACUCCUACGGGAGGCAGCAGUGGGGAAUAUUGCACAAUGGGGGAAACCCUGAUGCAGCAACGCCGCGUGAGUGAAGAAGGUUUUCGGAUUGUAAAGCUCUGUUAGCAGGGAAGAGGAAGGACGGUACCUGCAGAGGAAGCCACGGCUAACUACGUGCCAGCAGCCGCGGUAAUACGUAGGUGGCAAGCGUUGUUCGGAAUAACUGGGCGUAAAGGAUGCGUAGGCGGUUAAACAAGUUAUAUGUUAAAUAUAUAGGCUUAACCUGUAGAAAGCAUAUAAAACUGUUUAACUAGAGUGCAGGAGAGGUAAGUGGAAUUCCUAGUGUAGCGGUGAAAUGCGUAGAGAUUAGGAAGAACACCAGUGGCGAAGGCGACUUACUGGACUGUAACUGACGCUGAGGCAUGAGAGCAUGGGGAGCAAACAGGAUUAGAUACCCUGGUAGUCAUGCUGUAAACGAUGGGUACUAGGUGUGGGUUGUGAAUAACAAUUCGUGCCGUCGC
This 778-nucleotide ribosomal RNA is filed under the name uncultured bacterium. Its description in RNAcentral is "bacterial SSU rRNA". It matches the Rfam family "Bacterial small subunit ribosomal RNA", at positions 61 to 852 of the family's 1533-position model. The record is from RNAcentral.